CUUCUCAUAUCUCAAAUCACUUUUGUGCCGUUCGUCUCCUCCCUCUCCUCGCCGUCCGUCUCUUCCUCUUCUCACUUGGUGUUCUCGGUCAGCUUCCGACGGCCAUCCGACGGUCAUCUUCUCCUUCCGAGUUCCGACGGCCAUCCUAACAGCUUAAUUAGCAGUGAUUGUGAUGGCUUCGUCGAGUUCUGACUACUACGACUCCGACUUGGAAUCGGAAGGGAUUUUUGAAGAUUUAAGUGGACAGGAUGCAGGCUACGAGUGGUGCUGCAGUCAUGGGCUCUCUGGAAGUUGCUGUUUGUGGGAAGGGGUCGUGUUUUCCUUCUAAAAGUUCUAGCAUCUGUGUGUUUCCGCAACACAAGAAAAUGAACAUCUUGAAACCCAGUAAAUCCUCCAAGGUUAAAGCAAGCAUGGUUGUGGGGAAGCCAUCAUCUUCUGCUUCUGUCACUGUUCCAGAAAUUGGAGGUGUAAGCCACUUUGUAGACCAUGCCUUGAGUGAAACAGAUCCUGAAGUUCGAAGUAUUAUUGACAAAGAAAAGCAGCGGCAGUUUAAAAGCCUUGAACUUAUUGCCUCAGAGAAUUUUACCUCUCGGGCAGUUAUGGAGGCAGUUGGGUCCUGUCUGACAAACAAAUAUUCAGAAGGAUUACCUGGAAAAAGGUACUAUGGUGGCAAUGAACAUAUUGACGAGCUUGAAACACUCUGUCAACAAAGGGCUCUAGCAGCAUUUCAUUUGGACAAUAACAAGUGGGGUGUAAAUGUUCAACCACUAUCUGGUUCGCCUGCUAACUUUGAGGUUUAUACUGCAGUUCUUAAUCCACAUGAUCGAAUCAUGGGUUUAGACUUGCCUCAUGGAGGACAUUUGUCUCAUGGGUUUAUGACACCAAAAAGACGGGUGUCAGGCACAUCAAUUUAUUUUGAAUCUAUGCCUUAUCGUCUUGAUGAGACUACAGGUAUCGUAGAUUAUGAUAUGCUUGAAAGAACUGCUAACUUGUUUCGACCAAAGUUGAUUAUCGCUGGUGCAAGUGCUUAUCCACGAGAUUUUGACUAUCCUCGCAUGAGAAAAAUUGCUGAUGCUGUUGGUGCUUUUCUCAUGAUGGAUAUGGCUCACAUAAGUGGGCUUGUUGCUGCUUCUGUGGUUGCUGAUCCUUUUGAGUACUGUGAUAUUGUGACCACAACAACACACAAGUCUCUGAGAGGUCCAAGAGGGGGAAUGAUCUUCUUUAGGAAGGAUCCUGUUCUCGGAGUUGACUUAGAAUCGGCUAUUAAUAAUGCUGUGUUCCCAGGAUUACAGGGUGGUCCUCAUAAUCAUACAAUUGGGGGACUAGCUGUCUGCUUGAAGCAUGCACAAUCCCCAGAAUUUAAGGUCUAUCAGAACAAGGUCAUUGCCAAUUGUAGAGCUCUUGCGAGCCGGCUCGUCGAGUUAGGUUAUAAGCUAGUUUCUGGGGGAAGUGACAAUCACCUAGUUCUUGUAGAUCUCAGGCCAUUGGGUAUCGAUGGAGCGCGAGUGGAGAAAAUUCUUGACAUGGCCUCAAUCACUCUCAACAAGAACUCAGUACCUGGUGACAAGAGUGCUUUAGUUCCAGGAGGCAUUCGAAUUGGGUCACCUGCCAUGACUACCCGAGGUUUCACUGAGAAAGAGUUUGCAGCGGUUGCAGACUUCAUCCACGAAGGUGUUAAGAUAACUCUUGAUGCCAAACCACUAGCCCCAGGAUCAAAGCUCCAAGAGUUCCUCAAGUUUGUGACAACUUCUGAUUUCCCUUUAACCGAUCGAGUAUCAGAUCUUCGCUCAAGAGUCGAAGCUCUUACCACCCAAUUCCCAAUUCCCGGCCUGUGAGUUUCUCACUUCAGAGAAGGAAACAGUUAUAAAUUAACAAUAACAAUUCUGACCAAGAAAAGGGGGGAUAAGGUCAGAGAAAAUGUGACUUGUUCUUGAUGGGGACAUGUUUGUGCUGAUUGUAGCAAUACAAAUUAGAUAGUUUGUAACAUUUUAUAAGCUCUGGCAGCGAUGAGGCUUUGGUGGGAACUGUAUCAUCAUUGAUAAAUUUUAUCUUCCUAUGUUUUUCAAUUUUGUGUUCCUGUCAGUAGUUUUAUUUUUUAGAAAAUUCUAUGGGUUUCAAUUUCAGUGUACUCAAAGAUGUUGAAUUUAAGGUAUCCAAUGCUAAUUAUUGCAGAAUUAACAAUGA
This is an RNA transcript of Cucumis melo (muskmelon), 2184 nucleotides long. It is a transcript of the gene named serine hydroxymethyltransferase 3, chloroplastic, with no coding region annotated. The record is from RefSeq and is a predicted model, not a curated record. Lineage: Eukaryota; Viridiplantae; Streptophyta; Magnoliopsida; Cucurbitales; Cucurbitaceae. The transcript has 14 exons.